This 433-nucleotide ribosomal RNA is filed under the name uncultured bacterium. Its description in RNAcentral is "bacterial SSU rRNA". It matches the Rfam family "Bacterial small subunit ribosomal RNA", at positions 355 to 786 of the family's 1533-position model. The record is from RNAcentral.
UGAGGAAUAUUGGUCAAUGGGCGGGAGUCUGAACCAGCCAAGCCGCGUGAGGGAGGAAGGCCCUAUGGGUCGUAAACCCCUUUUGUCAGGGAACAAAAGCGAGUAUGUAUACUAGUCUGAGUGUACCUGAAGAAAAAGCAUCGGCUAACUCCGUGCCAGCAGCCGCGGUAAUACGGAGGAUGCGAGCGUUAUCCGGAUUUAUUGGGUUUAAAGGGUGCGUAGGCGGCGGUGCAAGUCAGCGGUAAAAGCCCGGGGCUCAACCCCGGCGAGCCGUUGAAACUGCAGUGCUAGAGAAGGCGAGAGGUACGCGGAAUGCGCAGUGUAGCGGUGAAAUGCUUAGAUAUUGCGCAGAACUCCGAUUGCGAAGGCAGCGUACUGGCGCAUGACUGACGCUGAGGCACGAAAGCGUGGGGAUCGAACAGGAUUAGAUACC